RNAcentral lists this ribosomal RNA (362 nucleotides) under uncultured bacterium. Its description in RNAcentral is "partial 16S ribosomal RNA". It matches the Rfam family "Bacterial small subunit ribosomal RNA", at positions 338 to 697 of the family's 1533-position model. The record is from RNAcentral.
CCUACGGGAGGCAGCAGUGAGGAAUAUUGGUCAAUGGACGCAAGCCUGAACCAGCCAUGCCGCGUGCAGGAUGACGGCUCUAUGAGUUGUAAACUGCUUUUGUACGAGGGUAAACCCCGAUAAGUGUCUCGGGUUGAAUGUACCGUACGAAUAAGGAUCGGCUAAGUUCGUGCCAGCAGCCGCGGUACUACGGAGGAUCCGAGCGUUAUCCGGAUUUAUUGGGUUUAAAGUGUGCGUAGGCGGUUUGGUAAGUUAGCGGUGAAAUGUCUGGGCUCAACCCCGAAACUGCCUCUAAUACUGGGGGACUUGAGUAUAGUUGCGGUAGGCGGAAUGUCUGGUGUAGCGGUGAAAUGCUUAGAGAU